This is a microRNA precursor of Fukomys damarensis (Damara mole-rat), 72 nucleotides long. The record is from Ensembl. Lineage: Eukaryota; Metazoa; Chordata; Mammalia; Rodentia; Bathyergidae.
GUUCCUUUUUCCUAUGCAUAUACUUCUUUGAGGAUCUGGCCUAAAGAGGUACAUGGCAUGGGAAAAUGGAGC